GUCUAUGGCCAUGCCACUCUGAACAAGCCCUAAAGCUAAGCAGGGUCGGGCCUGGUUAGUACUUGGAUGGGAGACACCACCUAGGAAAACCAGGUGCUGUAGGCA
RNAcentral lists this ribosomal RNA (105 nucleotides) under Pteropus alecto (black flying fox). The record is from RNAcentral. Lineage: Eukaryota; Metazoa; Chordata; Mammalia; Chiroptera; Pteropodidae.